This 468-nucleotide ribosomal RNA is filed under the name uncultured bacterium. RNAcentral describes it as "partial 16S ribosomal RNA". It matches the Rfam family "Bacterial small subunit ribosomal RNA", at positions 28 to 507 of the family's 1533-position model. The record is from RNAcentral.
GACGAACGCUGGCGGCGUGCUUAACACAUGCAAGUCGAACGGAAAGGCCCUGCUUUUGUGGGGUGCUCGAGUGGCGAACGGGUGAGUAACACGUGAGUAACCUGCCCUUGACUUUGGGAUAACUCCAGGAAACUGGGGCUAAUACCGGAUAGGAGCUCCUGCUGCAUGGUGGGGGUUGGAAAGUUUCGGCGGUUGGGGAUGGACUCGCGGCUUAUCAGCUUGUUGGUGGGGUAGGGGCUUACCAAGGCUUUGACGGGUAGCCGGCCUGAGAGGGUGACCGGCCACAUUGGGACUGAGAUACGGCCCAGACUCCUACGGGAGGCAGCAGUGGGGAAUAUUGCACAAUGGGCGGAAGCCUGAUGCAGCAACGCCGCGUGCGGGAUGACGGCCUUCGGGUUGUAAACCGCUUUCGCCUGUGACGAAGCGUGAGUGACGGUAAUGGGUAAAGAAGCACCGGCUAACUACGUG